Bubalus bubalis (water buffalo) is the source of this 1159-nucleotide long non-coding RNA. RefSeq lists it as uncharacterized. Lineage: Eukaryota; Metazoa; Chordata; Mammalia; Artiodactyla; Bovidae. The record is from RefSeq and is a predicted model, not a curated record. The transcript has 6 exons.
CCGCGCUCCCCUCCACCUAGUCGGGGCCCAGGGAUCGGCUCUCCCAGGGCCGGGGGUCGGCGCCGGGUUUGCCCGGCGUUCGGGCUGGACCCCGCUCAGCCGCGGGAGGGCCGGGCGGCGCCUGGCCCUGCGUGACCCCGCGGCGGAGGACGGGCGGGCGCGGGGCUGCGGGGACGGCCCGGGGCUGGAGGUCCCAUAGACCGGCGCUGGCGGGUGAAAGGUGAGAACUCCUGACCCACCGGAUGAAGAGUGUUUUAAAUGUGAAUGUAGCUGUUUUAGUCGUCAAGGUCUCCUGACUGGGGAAGCAGGGGCAGAGGCCCUGGGUGAGACCUGCACUGGAGGACACUUUGUGCUGUGAAGGAAAGAUGCGUGAAGACUGCUGGUGGCAAGUCUCCUUUCUUCUGCCGCCCUGGUGCGUGUGUAGCAGUACCAGAAUUGUUCAUCUGCACCCCCAUUGUUGACAAGCAACUGUAUCAGUGAGGCUAUGAUGAUGAUGGGCAACUGUUUUUACCCUUGGUUUCAUAGCUUCUCUUCAUUUCCAAAGUCACUCAGGUCUGCCUGCUGCUGCUGCUGCGUCAGGUCAGUCGUGUCCGACUCUGUGCGACCCCAUAGACGGCAGCGCCUAUGUUGCUACAAACGGCGUUUGCAAAUGGCAUUUCCAUGACGUGGCCUUUGUGAAUGGUGCUGCCAUGAACAUUGAGGAGAUCUGUGCUACAAGGAAGGGAUGAGCUGUAGAAGCCAGCCUGGCCCUCUGCUUCCUUCUAACACCCACUCCCAACCAUUGCCAGUCUCUGCUGAUGCCAUAGCUAAGCAACCUGCUGCAAUUGCUUUUUUGGGUAAAUUUCCUCCAACAAUAACAUCUUCUGGCUUCUCAAAGACCUGCUAAAGAAUGAUGGGCUUCAUUGCGUGAGGCAUCUCUGUGAGUAAUAAAUGGAGCUAUUUUCUUUCCCUUGGGAAGCUAAAUUAUGCUGGUCUGUUCUCAGUAAUAAACAGUGCUAUGAGUCUUAUUACAUAGGAAGUACCUAAAACCUACUUUAGAUGGUGGGUUUUAUGUAAAGUGCUUAUCGGGCUGCUUGAAUUCUUUAUUGCAUUUUAGAGUCUAAACAAUGUCCGUAUAAAAACAGAAAAUGAUUUCACAGUUCUCCAGGGUCAAGGCAGG